RNAcentral lists this long non-coding RNA (641 nucleotides) under Prunus persica (peach). RNAcentral describes it as "long non-coding RNA (PPER_LNC008015)". Lineage: Eukaryota; Viridiplantae; Streptophyta; Magnoliopsida; Rosales; Rosaceae. The record is from RNAcentral.
UCUGGCUCCUUGAAAAUCAAGGGUUGUAUGAUAUAUUGAUGGAUGGAAGAACUUAACUUUACCGGUGCAGGGUCCAAGUCAUCAAUGGUUAAUACGUCGCCUUUAUCUGACUCACUUAAGAAUUUGAUUUGAUUGCCCAAUAUUCCAAUAGUCGUUCCACAGGUUAGCCAUGGCUGCUGCCCCUUCUUCUCUGGUCACGGUGUUUGACAUUGGUAAAGGUUGGUAAGAUAGAUCAACACCUCUCAUGACGAAUCCUUCUGGACAUUCUCGGCACCUAACUCCAAGACCUUCUUGGCUAAAGUUCUUGUUGGUAAGCCAUUUGCAUUUUGGCCGGUCAAGAUGACCCAUCCAAUGUCGUCAUUGUAAUCCAUGCUUGCAUGGCAUGGGUUUCGAUAGGCUUCUCAUCGGUCGAGUGUAUUGACACCUUUUGGCCAUCCUAGAAGAAGAGUAACUGGAAGAGUGAUGAUGGUAUGUAGCCAGACUUAUGGAUCCAGUCUCUGCCAAGUAAUAUGUUGUAUUCUACGUUCGACUCUACAACAUAGAAGGCCGAUACUUCGGUUUGAUCGGCCAUGGUAAGUUUUAAUGACAAUACUCCAAUAGUCUUGGAUUUAUCGCCGACAAAGCUACUCAUAACUACGUCG